UACGAAGGGGGCUAGCGUUGCUCGGAAUCACUGGGCGUAAAGGGCGCGUAGGCGGCUUGACAAGUCAGGGGUGAAAUCCGGCAGCUUAACUGUCGCAGUGCCUUUGAUACUGUCGAGCUCGAGGGAGGUAGGGGUCUGUGGAACUUCCGGUGGAGCGGUGAAAUGCGUUGAUAUCGGAAGGAACGCCGGUGGCGAAAGCGACGGACUGGAUCUCUUCUGACGCUGAGGCGCGAAAGCCAGGGGAGCAAACGGG
This 253-nucleotide ribosomal RNA is filed under the name uncultured bacterium. RNAcentral's name for it is "partial 16S ribosomal RNA". It matches the Rfam family "Bacterial small subunit ribosomal RNA", at positions 524 to 776 of the family's 1533-position model. The record is from RNAcentral.